UACGGGGGGGGCAAGCGUUGUUCGGAAUUACUGGGCGUAAAGGGCUCGUAGGUGGCCAACUAAGUCAGACGUGAAAUCCCUCGGCUUAACCGGGGAACUGCGUCUGAUACUGGAUGGCUUGAGUUUGGGAGAGGGAUGCGGAAUUCCAGGUGGAGCGGUGAAAUGCGUAGAUAUCGCUUGGAACGCCAAAGGUGAAAACAGGUUGCUGGGGAUGUGCUGACACUGAGACGCGAAAGCCAGGGGAGCGAACGGG
This 253-nucleotide ribosomal RNA is filed under the name uncultured prokaryote. RNAcentral describes it as "partial 16S ribosomal RNA". It matches the Rfam family "Bacterial small subunit ribosomal RNA", at positions 524 to 776 of the family's 1533-position model. The record is from RNAcentral.